Molecule: ribosomal RNA, 253 nt
Filed under: uncultured bacterium
Lineage: Bacteria
Description: partial 16S ribosomal RNA
Rfam family: Bacterial small subunit ribosomal RNA
Source: RNAcentral
GACGGAAGGUGCAAGCGUUGCUCGGAAUUACUGGGCGUAAAGCGUGCGUAGACGGUUACAUAAGUCGGGUGUGAAAGCCCCGGGCUCAACCUGGGAAUUGCAUUCGAGACUGCGUAGCUAGGGUGCGGAAGAGGGAAGCGGAAUUUCCGGUGUAGCGGUGAAAUGCGUAGAUAUCGGAAGGAACACCAGUGGCGAAAGCGGCUUCCUGGUCCAGCACCGACGUUCAGGCACGAAAGCGUGGGGAGCAAACAGG